UACAGGGGGGUGCAAACGUUGCUCGGAAUCAUUGGGCGUAAAGCGCACGUAGGCGGUUCGUUAUGUCGGAUGUGAAAGCCCUUGGCUUAACCGAGGAAGUGCAUCCGAAACUGGCGAGCUAGAGUACUAAAGAGGAUCGCGGAAUUCCCGGUGUAGAGGUGAAAUUCGUAGAUAUCGGGAGGAACACCGGUGGCGAAGGCGGCGAUCUGGGUAGAUACUGACGCUGAGGUGCGAAAGCGUGGGGAGCAAACAGGG
Molecule: ribosomal RNA, 255 nt
Filed under: uncultured bacterium
Lineage: Bacteria
Description: partial 16S ribosomal RNA
Rfam family: Bacterial small subunit ribosomal RNA
Source: RNAcentral